AACAUUUAUAAUUCUUAAUUCUAUAAGGUUGAAUAAAAAUUCGAUUGACAUUUGAUAUAAUUGCUAUGCUUAGUGUGUGACUCGUUGGUUUUUUAGGGUUAGGAUUAAAAAAGACCAGCCCACAUAGUAUGAACUAAAAACUAUAGAACUAAUAACCAACCCAUCGCAUUAUCUGGAUCUAAAGAACUAGUCAAGAUAUGUUAUAUAGGUCAUAUCUUUGUAGCAACUGAAAUCUUUUGC
This 240-nucleotide long non-coding RNA is filed under the name Nicotiana benthamiana. Its description in RNAcentral is "long non-coding RNA (NBEN_LNC020700)". The record is from RNAcentral. Lineage: Eukaryota; Viridiplantae; Streptophyta; Magnoliopsida; Solanales; Solanaceae.